RNAcentral lists this ribosomal RNA (447 nucleotides) under uncultured bacterium. RNAcentral describes it as "partial 16S ribosomal RNA". It matches the Rfam family "Bacterial small subunit ribosomal RNA", at positions 29 to 523 of the family's 1533-position model. The record is from RNAcentral.
AGCGGACGCUGGCGGCAGGCUUAACACAUGCAAGUCGAACGCCCCGCAAGGGGAGUGGCAGACGGGUGAGUAACACGUGGGAACGUACCCUUUGGUUCGGAAUAACUUGGGGAAACUCAAGCUAAUACCGGAUAAGCCCUUAUGGGGAAAGGUUUACUGCCGAAGGAUCGGCCCGCGUCUGAUUAGCUAGUUGGUGAGGUAAUGGCUCACCAAGGCGACGAUCAGUAGCUGGUCUGAGAGGAUGAUCAGCUACACUGGGACUGAGACACGGCCCAGACUCCUACGGGAGGCAGCAGUGGGGAAUAUUGGACAAUGGGGGCAACCCUGAUCCAGCCAUGCCGCGUGUGUGAUGAAGGCCUUAGGGUUGUAAAGCUCUUUUACCCGGGACGAUAAUGACUGUACCGGGAGAAUAAGCCCCGGCUAACUUCGUGCCAGCAGCCGCCGUAA